GACGUAGGGGGCCAGCGUUGCUCGGAAUUACUGGGUGUAAAGGGUUCGUAGGCGGUGUGGCAAGUCGGGAGUGAAAUCUCUGGGCUCAACCCAGAGUCUGCUUCCGAAACUGCUGUGCUUGAGUGUGGGAGAGGCGCGUGGAAUUGCAGGUGUAGCGGUGAAAUGCGUAGAUAUCAGGAGGAACACCGGUGGCGAAGGCGGCUAUCUGGACAGAAACUGACGCUGAGGCGCGAAAGCUAGGGGAGCAAACAGG
Molecule: ribosomal RNA, 253 nt
Filed under: uncultured bacterium
Lineage: Bacteria
Description: partial 16S ribosomal RNA
Rfam family: Bacterial small subunit ribosomal RNA
Source: RNAcentral